ACGUGGCGGCGGCCCCCGGCUGCCGGCGGAGGGGAAGCGGGGGUGGGGGCGGCGGGGCCGCUGCCCAGCGGCCGCUAGCGCGGCGGGAGCGGCGGCCUGCCGUCCGCCCCGCGCCCCGUCCCCCGCGCAUCCCGAGGCUGAGAGCUCCCGUUAGGAGCGUGACACGCAGCCCCGCGGGCGACCGGGCUUGACUUGAAAGGAAGCCAGGCUUAGGGUCUUGUGCCCUUUUCAGCCAUCUGCGUGAAGGGCGGCCUCUAACAGCUCAAAAGGGAUCACAGAACCGCUGAGGUGGGCAGGGACCUCACCCCUCUGCUCAGAGCAUGGUCAGCCACAGCAAGUUUCCUGAGACUGUUUCCAGCCAGAUAUUGAGUAUCUCCAGGGACAGAGAUUCUCUGGCCAGCCUGUUCCAGUGUUCACUCGCGCUUUAAAGUCUGAGCGAAAAUUGAAGACACCAUGAGACGGCACUGGACUGCUCAAGCCGGUUUGGCAGAGCUCCUCGUAAAAGCAGAUCAGAAAGUAUGAAAGUAGAUGGAAUUCUCAAUCAGAAAAAUUAUAAGGAGACAGAAUAUUUCUGCCUUGUAUUUAGCAAAAUAAUUGUUUCUGAAAACAUUGCCCAAUGCUGCAACUGCUUCUCAGGUAUGACAAUGCAGAGAUGCUAAACAUGUUGAGCUUGUAAAGGUAUCUGGGAUCAAGAAAGCGCAAUUUGAACCGUGAUCAGCAGUGACACAGAAAAGCCCAUCCUAAAACAUUUCCGUACUUGUGCAGUCUUGGGGGCACACAGCCGGAUCUUUGCUCUCAACCACAUCACAGGUGCCAUCUGGACAAGUCUUGAUACUCGGGGUGCACGUGGAAUAGUUUGUGGUGAUCCCUGUUAACACAGAAACAGGCAGCUGAACAAAUACCACCAGGCUUUGAAGUGCACACUGACGCACCGCAGCACAGGUUACUGUUCUUUUUAAAAUAAACAUCAAUGAAUAUAAACAUCAUCUGCUAAAGUAACAGGCAAGACAACAGCUAAAAGCAACUGGAAGAAAUAUAUUUUUCACUGUGUCUUCUGCUUUUGACAGCCCUUUGGGCAUGUCACUUGCAGUUACAGUGAGUAUUACUUGAAAAAGAGCUAGCUGACCACUUUGAGACUGAAGAGCGGCUUUCACAACUAAGGAUGUCUCUACACAAUUUCACACAUACUUGAAUAUGAAGGUUACAAGUAGUCGAAGAGAAUUUGUGAUACUCGGGCAGUUUGAAGGGAUAAAGCAUCGGCACAGAAGCAUUGUUCUGGAAGAGUCGAGUACUGUUACCCAUCAGAUCUGUGCUACAGACCACAGAAAACAAACAGAGACACUGCUUCUGCGCUCGCUAACUGUCUGCUGAGGCAUACCUCCUCAGAGGCUCAUUGGUCUGUGCAGCACAGAGGAAUCAUUCACAUAAAGGCUUCCAUAUUUGUCUUCUCGGCCUUGAAGUAUGCUGACGGGAUAACAGCUUACGCUGGGGGACAGUAACUUGUAGGUGAUGUUCACACCACGGAAUUUCAUACAGUUUUCAAUGCAGAUUUUUCCUAUCUAGGCUCAAACACCAACAACGAAAUCACAGACAACAGAAACAAAACUAUUCCCAAAUAUAUCUGAAAGAAAAUUGAGCAUAUUACACCUUGCAAAGUUCGGCAUUUAUCUUGGGUUUACAGAUUUGAUGUUUUACUACCAACGCAGUACGUGAAUGCUUCAAAUGUGAUUUAUUCUCAGUAAAAAUGAAAGGUAAAGCAUUACCAUUGUUUUCAGGCUAGCAGUGGAAAUGCAAAAAGCCUUGACCCAGAGACUCAGUGAUAUUUGAUGCCUACUGCUGAUGGUCAGCAGCGUUCAGGGAGAACAAGACCCUGUGAUUUGGGAAAGUCUUAAGUUCAGUCUGUGAAAAGUGUUCAUCUGAUUCGUGUCAAUAUAAACAAUGCUAGGGCCGCAUAAUAAAAUGUGACCCUCACUGUAACCAUUUUGUCAGUCCUCGUAUAACCGCAGGCCGGGAGGAAACAGAUGAUACGUAUAUAGUUCUUUUUUGCCAGCCCAAAACCGGUUUUGUUGUUAACUGCGCAGUGUUAAACAAGAGAUCCUAGGGGAGAACUGAGGCAUUUAUCAUAGUAUUAAGCGAGGUUACGAACGGGGUGAUCUUUAUUAUGUAUGAAUAGAGGGUGUAUUGAAGUGG
Long non-coding RNA from Aquila chrysaetos chrysaetos, 2190 nucleotides. RefSeq lists it as uncharacterized. The record is from RefSeq and is a predicted model, not a curated record. Lineage: Eukaryota; Metazoa; Chordata; Aves; Accipitriformes; Accipitridae. The transcript has 7 exons.